This 255-nucleotide ribosomal RNA is filed under the name uncultured bacterium. Its description in RNAcentral is "partial 16S ribosomal RNA". It matches the Rfam family "Bacterial small subunit ribosomal RNA", at positions 524 to 776 of the family's 1533-position model. The record is from RNAcentral.
GACGAACCGUGCAAACGUUGUUCGGAAUCACUGGGCUUAAAGGGUGUGUAGGCGGGUCUCCCAGUCUGCGGUGAAAGCCCCCGGCUUAACCGUGGAAGUGCCGUGGAUACUGGAGACCUCGAGGAGGGUGAGGGGCAGUCUGGAACGGUCGGUGGAGCGGUGAAAUGCGUUGAUAUCGACCGGAACACCGGUGGCGAAGGCGGGUCUCUGGGCAGUAACUGACGCUGAGGAGCGAAAGCGUGGGGAGCGAACAGG